This 254-nucleotide ribosomal RNA is filed under the name uncultured bacterium. RNAcentral's name for it is "partial 16S ribosomal RNA". It matches the Rfam family "Bacterial small subunit ribosomal RNA", at positions 793 to 1055 of the family's 1533-position model. The record is from RNAcentral.
GUCCACGCCGUAAACUAUGGAUACUAGCUGUUGGAAGCAAUUUCAGUGGCUAAGCGAAAGUGAUAAGUAUCCCACCUGGGGAGUACGUUCGCAAGAAUGAAACUCAAAGGAAUUGACGGGGCCCGCACAAGCGGUGGAGCAUGUGGUUUAAUUCGAUGAUACGCGAGGAACCUUACCAAGGCUUAAAUGUAGAUUGACCGGUUUGGAAACAGAUCUUUCGCAAGACAAUUUACAAGGUGCUGCAUGGUUGUCGU